Molecule: long non-coding RNA, 530 nt
Organism: Paramormyrops kingsleyae
Lineage: Eukaryota; Metazoa; Chordata; Actinopteri; Osteoglossiformes; Mormyridae
Source: RefSeq, a predicted model, not a curated record
GACUCCAGCUCACGUCAGCCUGUUCACUCUUUACCCUGUCCUGUUCUCUCCUACAUAUUUUUCUUCAGUCUUUCCUCAGUUUGUCCUCCUCCAUCAUCUCGACUGACCUUUUUUAGAUGCGGCAGCGUUUUGCUCAUUUGGAUUUAAUAUUAGGCUAGCCUGCUUCUCUUUCAUCCAGAAUCACUUGCAUUAGCCCCUGAGAAUAGUUUACAAGCUUUGGUUAGUCGUAUGGUAAAUUUCAGGAUCACAUGUGUCCCCAUGAUUACCGCCACCUGUGCUGGAGAGACCCCUAUGGAUGGGUGCAUGGAUGUAUUCAUAUGGAAUCCAUAAAUUUGAUUAACUGAAUGUUAAUACACUUUUAUUUGCCAUAUACAAAAGUACAAAUACAGAGCAGCACUGGACACAAAGGUGGAGGUGUGGGUGUGCAGACAGCUGGAACUGAUCAACAUCUCAGCAGGAAAACUCAAAGGUCUUCCUGCCAAGAUAUCCAGAUCACCCUCCAGUACCCCUAUACCUUCACCUCAUCUCCC